GACGAACGCUGGCGGCGUGCUUAACACAUGCAAGUCGAACGGACGAGUGAGAUAAGUUUACUUAACUCACAAGUUAGUGGCGGACGGGUGAGUAACACGUGGAUAAUCUACCUGCAACACCGGGAUAACGCUGUGAAAACGGUGCUAAUACCGGAUACGUUCCCUUGUGCGCAUGUAUGAGGGAAGAAAGCUCAGGCGGUUGCAGAUGAGUCCGCGGCUGAUUAGCUAGUUGGUGAGGUAAAGGCUCACCAAGGCGAUGAUCAGUAGCCGGCCUGAGAGGGUGAACGGCCACACUGGGACUGAGACACGGCCCAGACUCCUACGGGAGGCAGCAGUGGGGGAUUUUGGACAAUGGGCGAAAGCCUGAUCCAGCGACGCCGCGUGGAGGCGAAGCCCUUCGGGGUGUAAACUCCUUUUCUCAGGGAAAAGGAUGAUGGUACCUGAGGAAUAACGCCCCGGCUAACUACGUGC
This 471-nucleotide ribosomal RNA is filed under the name uncultured bacterium. RNAcentral's name for it is "bacterial SSU rRNA". It matches the Rfam family "Bacterial small subunit ribosomal RNA", at positions 28 to 508 of the family's 1533-position model. The record is from RNAcentral.